Molecule: long non-coding RNA, 362 nt
Filed under: Triticum aestivum (bread wheat)
Lineage: Eukaryota; Viridiplantae; Streptophyta; Magnoliopsida; Poales; Poaceae
Description: long non-coding RNA (TAES_LNC027116)
Source: RNAcentral
UGGGUAUAUAUACGUACAGAUUGUUUGGUAAUCUUACAUCUUUACACCUGUUUUGUCCAAGAAAUGCAUCUUACAACAUGCUCGCUCACCUAGCCUACGAGUGCAGCGGCGCACAGCACACUGCUGUUCGCCACAUUCUACAACCACCUCUAAAUCUUUAUUCUUCACCAUAUGAACAACAAGCACAUACUAGAAAUCUUUACCAGUUGCUGAUCUUGUAUCUACUCUGAUCUAUGAAGUCCGAGUAGUAGUGUUUUCUGCUUCCACGGCCACAUCCUGCACAUUGCCAUCUUCCGUUGUCGGAUGGACAUCCAUCGGCUUACCCUCUAUUGUAACAGGCCCUUCGUUCACCACCACCUCAC